RNAcentral lists this ribosomal RNA (244 nucleotides) under uncultured Thermus sp. RNAcentral describes it as "partial 16S ribosomal RNA". It matches the Rfam family "Bacterial small subunit ribosomal RNA", at positions 1140 to 1382 of the family's 1533-position model. Lineage: Bacteria; Thermotogati; Deinococcota; Deinococci; Thermales; Thermaceae. The record is from RNAcentral.
CUAACGGGACUGCCCGCGAAAGCGGGAGGAAGGAGGGGACGACGUCUGGUCAGCAUGGCCCUUACGGCCUGGGCGACACACGUGCUACAAUGCCCACUACAAAGCGAUGCCACCCGGCAACGGGGAGCUAAUCGCAAAAAGGUGGGCCCAGUUCGGAUUGGGGUCUGCAACCCGACCCCCAUGAAGCCGGAAUCGCUAGUAAUCGCGGAUCAGCCAUGCCGCGGUGAAUACGUUCCCGGGCCUU